Molecule: ribosomal RNA, 497 nt
Filed under: uncultured bacterium
Lineage: Bacteria
Description: partial 16S ribosomal RNA
Rfam family: Bacterial small subunit ribosomal RNA
Source: RNAcentral
GAUGAACGCUGGCGGCGUGCCUAAUACAUGCAAGUCGAGCGAACGGACGAGAAGCUUGCUUCUCUGAUGUUAGCGGCGGACGGGUGAGUAACACGUGGAUAACCUACCUAUAAGACUGGGAUAACUUCGGGAAACCGGAGCUAGUACCGGAUAAUAUUUUGAACCGCAUGGUUCAAAAGUGAAAGACGGUCUUGCUGUCACUUAUAGAUGGAUCCGCGCUGCAUUAGCUAGUUGGUAAGGUAACGGCUUACCAAGGCAACGAUGCAUAGCCGACCUGAGAGGGUGAUCGGACACACUGGAACUGAGACACGGUCCAGACUCCUACGGGAGGCAGCAGUAGGGAAUCUUCCGCAAUGGGCGAAAGCCUGACGGAGCAACGCCGCGUGAGUGAUGAAGGUCUUCGGAUCGUAAAACUCUGUUAUUAGGGAAGAACAUAUGUGUAAGUAACUGUGCACAUCUUGACGGUACCUAAUCAGAAAGCCACGGCUAACUACGUG